Molecule: ribosomal RNA, 1352 nt
Filed under: human gut metagenome
Description: eukaryotic LSU rRNA
Rfam family: Eukaryotic large subunit ribosomal RNA
Source: RNAcentral
AACUAUGACUCUCUUAAGGUAGCCAAAUGCCUCGUCAUCUAAUUAGUGACGCGCAUGAAUGGAUGAACCAAAUUCCCACUGUCCCUAUGUACUAUCUAGCGAACCCACAGCCAAGGGAACGGGCUUGGCAACAUCAGCGGGGAAAGAAGACCCUGUUGAGCUUGACUCUAGUCUGACUUUGUGAUAUGACUCUCCAAGUGUAGAAUAAGUGGGAGUUGUUUGUUGUGGUUUUCGGAUUGUGGCAACCAGCGUUGGUGAAAUACCACUAUUGGAGAAGUUGUUUUACUUAGUUAUUUAGUGAAUGAGUGGGAUGGCAUUGUUUGUUGUGGUGCAUUUCACUAUGAUGAAUGAUGUCGUGUAUCCUAUGUUUUCUUUAGUUUUCAUGUCUUGUGAAUUUCAUUCAUGAGACAGAAUUGAAAUAGCUAAAGGAGUUAGAUAGGGAGUUUGGCUGGGGCGGCACAUCUGUAACACAAGAACGCAGGUGUCCAAAGAGCAGCUCAAGGAGAACAGAAAUCUCGAGUGGAAUAUAAGGGUAAAAGCUGCUUUAAUUGUGGUUUUCAGUAAGAAUGAUGAUGGUGAAAGCGUGGCCUAGCGAUCCCUAAUGAGGUGUUGUGUGAUUAGACAGUGCAUGAUGCUGAGAAUGGUCUUUGGAAUAUAAAGCUUGGGGUGUCAGAAAAGUUACCACAGGGAUAACUGGCUUGUGGCUGCCAAGCGUUCAUAGCGACGCAGCUUUUUGAUCCUUCGAUGUCGGCUCUUCCUAUCAUUGAGAAGCAGAAUUCUCAAAGUGUCGGAUUGUUCACCCGCUAACAGGGAACGUGAGCUGGGUUUAGACCGUCGUGAGACAGGUUAGUUUUACCCUCCUGAUUUGUUUAUUGUUUAGGAAUCAUCAUAAGAGUAAUUCAACCAAGUACGAGAGGAACCGUUGAAUCAUAUCAAUGGCAUGACCGUAUUGCUGGACAGCAAGUGAUGGGAUGCUACCAUAUGACAGAUAAUGGCUGAAAGCCUCUUAAGCCAGAAUCUGUGCUUGUGACAAGUUGAUGAUGGGAUGGGGUGCGUGCAGUUUGUGCUGUUUGUGCCUUGUUUGUGGUGAGUGCAUUGUAUGGUGUGCUUGUGAUUCUAUGUAUUCAGGUGACAGCCAGAUGGGAAAGUGUGUAGUGUGAUUGCACAUGAUGGUUGUUGUGUUUGUUUGUUUGUUGAUAAUUUGUAUGGUUUGAUGCUGUAUGAAUGAGAAAAGGAAUAGUUGGACUUUUCAGGGAAUAUGUAGGCAGAUAGCCAGAAGACGACUGGUGUAUGGGACAAGGGAUUGUAAGUGGGAGAGUUAUCUGGGAAUAACGAUGCACUGAGAUUAGCCU